CGACAUGACCCCAGUAGGGAACCAAAUUUUUAGGAAAAAAGAGCCAUAAACUACAAACAAAAAAUGAGCACAGCUGUGUCCCAGUAAAUCUUUGUUUAAAAAUCAGUCAUGGGACAAGAUUUGGCCUAUGGAUCACCACUUCCCCAGCCCUGAUUUAAUGAGUGGCAACAGGUGCGGAGAAGGCGUCUCAUGGUUCCCCCUGCGCAGAUGAUCUCUAGAGCCCAGAUUUAUCUGAAGUCCUCUUCCGUGUUCUUGAUAAGCAUUCUUGUGGAGGGAAGGUGCAUAAUAAAUGGAAAGGAUGCCCUUGCUCUUGUGAGACUGAUAUAUAUUUCUGAAGAGUCUAACAAAAAUCUAACAGCUCCGGACUACACAUGCUUUUAACAACUGAACCAAAGCCAGAUUCCUUGUUUUAAAUAUCUUCGUGCCAGUUGCUAAAAGAACAUCUUGAGACCAAAGGAAAGUUAAAAGGGAGUAUGAUUGGCCUUUGCUCAUUAAUUCAAUCAACAAUGUACGUGGAACUCACCUAUAAAGUGCAGUGGCUCUGAACAAGGAAGUCCUGUCCGAAUGUCAGUUCUGCUGCCCUCUUACAUGCGGCCGUGAACUUCCCGGAUUUCUCCAAGUCUGUUUCAUUAUCUUCAAAAUGGGAAUAGCUCUGUCUUAAAGACAAGAGAUAGAGGCUAUGUUAUAG
Molecule: long non-coding RNA, 688 nt
Organism: Fukomys damarensis (Damara mole-rat)
Lineage: Eukaryota; Metazoa; Chordata; Mammalia; Rodentia; Bathyergidae
Exons: 3
Source: RefSeq, a predicted model, not a curated record